UCAUUUCUCUCUGUAGCUCUCUGGUCUCUGCCUGUCUUUUGUCCUCCCCCCAUCCCCCUCACCCUUAUGUUCUCUGUAAUAUUAGGAUGACAGUAUUCAUGCCACUGGAGGAGGCAGUGAGAAGAAGUCUGAGGAGCACCAUUAGGAUCUAAAGCCCUAGAGAAGCACUUAAGGGUCUUUGUGUGUCAGGCACUGUGCUGAAGGCUGGGGGGACCAACACAAGCCAAUCAGCAGCUGCGGAGGUACCCUGUGGGGGAGGGGGACCAGCAGUUGGCAGUAGAGCCAGGAGGGAAAAGACGGCUGGCAGGCCUGGGCCUCUCCACAAAGUGGAGGCCCUAGGUGAAGCCUUGGGCGGGCCACACCAACAGGGUCACAUCAGCUCAGCUGCAUUUGCCAGUGAUUUUGAAAUCUGAAUACGCCUUGCCGGAAUGGAAUAUUCGCACUGGCAAGAGGGAGACCAAUUUGCUUUGAAUUCUUGGCCAAAUUUUCUGCCCUUUCUCCUGUGUGAGCUGGCUAAGAGCCCUGCCAUUUCUUGUUUGUUUCGUUACAGACAGAAAUACCCAUAAAAAUCUAACAAGUGGAAGCAGGGAGUGAAAUUAUUGAGCCCACUCACUUUUGUCCCAGAUCCCAGUCUGGUUGCUGAGGCUGUGAAACAUCAGAUCAGGUGAUACAUCUGGACUUCCAGGUCCUUCCUGUUCCCAAGGUCUGUAGUCAGGACCAGACCACAGGGAGGGAGCGCCAGUCUGAGUCUGCAACAAUAGAGAGCAUGAACCCUGUUCCCUGGGCAGUUUUCCAGUGGUUUGAGAAGGACAAUGCCUGUGGCUCCCUAACAGUCUUUGGAUGGAUGUCAAAAAACAAACCCAGAGGGGUCUUUUCUGAAAGGGACACAUUUCCCUGAAGCACCUUUUAGAAAAUCAUUUUCUUUCUGGAAAUGUUGAGGCUCCCCUUUGUCUUCUCCUGGAGAAGUGUGGAAAUGAGUUUCACACCGCAAGUGUGUGCCUUCCACAGGUGGGGGUGACAUUUAUUUAUUUGUUACAAAUAAAAGAACAGGUUUGUUGGUGGA
This is a non-coding RNA of Phascolarctos cinereus (koala), 1063 nucleotides long. The record is from RefSeq and is a predicted model, not a curated record. Lineage: Eukaryota; Metazoa; Chordata; Mammalia; Diprotodontia; Phascolarctidae.